UUGAGUUUGAUCCUGGCUCAGAUUGAACGCUGGCGGCAUGCCUUACACAUGCAAGUCGAACGGUAACGCGGGGCAACCUGGCGACGAGUGGCGAACGGGUGAGUAAUACAUCGGAACGUGCCCAGUAGUGGGGGAUAGCCCGGCGAAAGCCGGAUUAAUACCGCAUACGACCUACGGGUGAAAGCGGGGGAUCGCAAGACCUCGCGCUAUUGGAGCGGCCGAUGUCAGAUUAGCUAGUUGGUGGGGUAAAGGCCUACCAAGGCGACGAUCUGUAGCUGGUCUGAGAGGACGACCAGCCACACUGGGACUGAGACACGGCCCAGACUCCUACGGGAGGCAGCAGUGGGGAAUUUUGGACAAUGGGGGCAACCCUGAUCCAGCCAUGCCGCGUGCGGGAAGAAGGCCUUCGGGUUGUAAACCGCUUUUGUCGGGGAAGAAACGGUCUGCGCUAAUACCGCGGGCUAAUGACGGUACCCGAAGAAUAAGCACCGGCUAACUACGUGCCAGCAGCCGCGGUAAUACGUAGGGUGCAAGCGUUAAUCGGAAUUACUGGGCGUAAAGCGUGCGCAGGCGGCUUUGCAAGACAGAUGUGAAAUCCCCGGGCUCAACCUGGGAACUGCAUUUGUGACUGCAUGGCUGGAGUGCGGCAGAGGGGGAUGGAAUUCCGCGUGUAGCAGUGA
RNAcentral lists this ribosomal RNA (680 nucleotides) under Methylibium sp. enrichment culture clone z155. RNAcentral's name for it is "bacterial SSU rRNA". It matches the Rfam family "Bacterial small subunit ribosomal RNA", at positions 1 to 684 of the family's 1533-position model. Lineage: Bacteria; Pseudomonadati; Pseudomonadota; Betaproteobacteria; Burkholderiales; Sphaerotilaceae. The record is from RNAcentral.